GGAUCAUGGCUCAGGACGAACGCUGGCGGCGUGCCUAAUACAUGCAAGUCGAGCGAAGUUUUUCUGGUGCUUGCACCGGAAAAACUUAGCGGCGAACGGGUGAGUAACACGUAAAGAACCUGCCUCAUAGACUGGGACAACUAUUGGAAACGAUAGCUAAUACCGGAUAACAGCAUUAACUGCAUGGUUGAUGUUUAAAAGUUGGUUUUGCUAACACUAUGAGAUGGCUUUGCGGUGCAUUAG
This 243-nucleotide ribosomal RNA is filed under the name uncultured bacterium. RNAcentral describes it as "partial 16S ribosomal RNA". It matches the Rfam family "Bacterial small subunit ribosomal RNA", at positions 14 to 244 of the family's 1533-position model. The record is from RNAcentral.